AAGAGAAUGAUUAAACAAUUAAAAGCUUUCUUUAAUUGAAUAAUUGAAUUUAAUUUUUUAGUGCAAAAGCAAAAAUAAAAAUUAGGGACAAGAAGACCCUAUGAAUUUUUAUUAAAUUUUAUAAAACUUUAUAUAAAAUUUAAUUUAAUUGGGGUGAUGGAAAAAGAAUAAAUAUCUUUUUUUUAAAAAAAAUUGGUUCCGUUUUUAGCGAUUAAAUGAAAAAAAUACUCUAGGGAUAACAGCGUAAUAAUUUUGGAUAGUUCAUAUAGAUAAAAUAGUUUGCGACCUCGAUGUUGGAUUAGGAUUCUUUUUUGGUGAAGAAGUUAAAAAAAGAAGUUUGUUCAACUUAUAAUUUCCU
Molecule: ribosomal RNA, 358 nt
Filed under: Ixodes ricinus (castor bean tick)
Lineage: Eukaryota; Metazoa; Arthropoda; Arachnida; Ixodida; Ixodidae
Description: partial large subunit ribosomal RNA
Rfam family: Bacterial large subunit ribosomal RNA (bases 86-358)
Source: RNAcentral